Molecule: transfer RNA, 77 nt
Filed under: Merismopedia glauca CCAP 1448/3
Lineage: Bacteria; Bacillati; Cyanobacteriota; Cyanophyceae; Synechococcales; Merismopediaceae
Description: tRNA-Leu
Rfam family: tRNA
About the family: Transfer RNA (tRNA) molecules are approximately 80 nucleotides in length. Their secondary structure includes four short double-helical elements and three loops (D, anti-codon, and T loops).
Source: RNAcentral
GUUUGAUUAGCUCAGGUGGUUAGAGCAACCGACAAAGAAUCGGUCUGACACGGGUUCAAAUCCUGUAUCAAACUCCA